AGUUUAGUUUUUGGUGCCACACAUCCGGGUCCUUGAGGAAGGUCACAGAGUCAUCAAACUCAGAUUCACCGAUUUACGGUUCACAUCAGGUGAAACCUCCUUUACGGCACUUGUUUACAGAGUACUUGAGCUUGGCGGGGGUCCACCAUGUCAGAUGACCAGCAGUCAAACUCUCAGGUGAGAGCUGACCAAGGAGUUGAAAAUGUCCAGAUUGCUGAGAUGAUGUUUAACGUGAAAGGCACAGGUUGUGGAAGUUUUAUUAGUGGAAAAAGCGUACACAACCAGAGAAUUGAGCACCUAUGGAGGGACGUUUGGACAGGCGUGACACAUGUUUAUUAUGAUGUACUACACAGCUUGGAAGAAGAUGGAUUUCUCAACAUUUCAGAUAGUCUUCAUCUCUUCAGUGCCCAGUACACCUUCCUCCCAAGGCUCAAGGCUGAUUUGGCCAAGUUUUCUGCUGGCUGGAAUGAUCAUCCCAUCAGGACAGAGCGUAGCCUUUCCCCAAACCAGCUGUGAGAACUUGGGAUGCUGCAGUGCCCCAUCAGAAAGCCAGAUAUGUCUGAGGAAAAUGUGGCAGGAAUCCAAAUGCAGGAAAUUGAUUGGGAGAGCUCAAGACCAUCCCAUCAUGCAGACCCAGUUGUUACUGUGCCACAAAUGGAACGCCCACUGAAGGCAGAAGAUAUUGAAUCUCUGCGCUGUGCCAUUAAUCCCCUUAUGCCUUCAUCCAGUUUUGGAAGAGACAUUUAUUUAACCACACUCACAUCCUAUGCACCUACAUCACCUUCACUCACUGUCAUAGCUAGGCUCAUCAGAUGGUGAAAUUAUAAGAAUGUGGUGAUUCUUAUAAUGUGGUUCUAUAUCAUAUGCUUGACCUCAUUGAUAUAAGUUUAUAAUAAUCCCUCCUUCUCAAUUAUAAAAGUCUCUCCCAGUUUUAAGGGUACUGAGCAUUUAUUUCCACAUUCUGGACUUUUACUCCCAACCCAAAUAGAUUCUGUCAAGUUGACACAGCCACAUUCAAGAGCGAGAGAAAUCAGUGCGCUAUUGUAACUACUCUUUAAUUGUUUAAAGGCAAUCAAAAAUGACUGACGAUGAACACCAUCAAAAAUAUAAAAAUUAAAGAUCAGUAUCAAAAACAUUCUUUUGUUUUUAGUUUUACUUACUUUCCAUUGAUCAUCCAGAUUUUAAGCUGGAUGAUCAUCCUCCUAAACAUGAUAAAAUGGAAGGCCUUUGUCAUCACAAGCUUGAACUCAUUAUAUGUUUGUAUAUGCUGAACAGGCAGUCGAACUGUAUUACUACAUGCUGUAACUGUAGGGUAGCAAACUGCACGAACACCAUAUUGAAUAUGACAGGUGUGGUUGAACUGCACGAAGACUUUGAAGUUUCUCUUCUCUUCUAGCAGGAAAGGAAUGUGGCCUUGUCCCGUAAGCCACUGCAAGAAUGUGCUUGGGUUGAGAACUGGACUGUCACCCGCCUCUGGCUCUUCACCUUUUUAAAGACAAGUCAUUUAAAUAAAAGAUUGUAUACUGUUUACCUGUAACUGCACAAAGAAAAUAAAAAAAUGUAAUGUUUGACUAAA
This is a long non-coding RNA of Girardinichthys multiradiatus, 1576 nucleotides long. RefSeq lists it as uncharacterized. The record is from RefSeq and is a predicted model, not a curated record. The transcript has 4 exons. Lineage: Eukaryota; Metazoa; Chordata; Actinopteri; Cyprinodontiformes; Goodeidae.